This 1347-nucleotide ribosomal RNA is filed under the name uncultured bacterium. RNAcentral describes it as "bacterial SSU rRNA". It matches the Rfam family "Bacterial small subunit ribosomal RNA", at positions 28 to 1381 of the family's 1533-position model. The record is from RNAcentral.
GACGAGCGCUGGCGGCGUGCUUAACACAUGCAAGUCGAACGAUGAAGCCUAGCUUGCUAGGUGGAUUAGUGGCGAACGGGUGAGUAAUACGUGAGUAACCUACCUUUAACUCUGGGAUAAGCCUGGGAAACUGGGUCUAAUACCGGAUACGACCAAUCUCCGCAUGGGGUGUUGGUGGAAAGCGUUAUGUAGUGGUUAUAGAUGGGCUCACGGCCUAUCAGCUUGUUGGUGAGGUAACGGCUCACCAAGGCGACGACGGGUAGCCGGCCUGAGAGGGUGACCGGCCACACUGGGACUGAGACACGGCCCAGACUCCUACGGGAGGCAGCAGUGGGGAAUAUUGCACAAUGGGCGCAAGCCUGAUGCAGCGACGCCGCGUGAGGGAUGACGGCCUUCGGGUUGUAAACCUCUGUUAGCAGGGAAGAAGAGAAAUUGACGGUACCUGCAGAGAAAGCGCCGGCUAACUACGUGCCAGCAGCCGCGGUAAUACGUAAGGCGCGAGCGUUGUCCGGAAUUAUUGGGCGUAAAGAGCUUGUAAGCGGUUUGUCGCGUCUGCUGUGAAGGCCGGGGCUUAACCCCGUGUAUUGCAGUGGGUACGGGCAGACUAGAGUGCAGUAGGGGAGACUGGAACUCCUGGUGUAGCGGUGGAAUGCGCAGAUAUCAGGAAGAACACCGAUGGCGAAGGCAGGUCUCUGGGCUGUAACUGACGCUGAGAAGCGAAAGCAUGGGGAGCGAACAGGAUUAGAUACCCUGGUAGUCCAUGCCGUAAACGUUGGGUACUAGGUGUGGGGGACAUUCCACGUUUUCCGCGCCGUAGCUAACGCAUUAAGUGCCCCGCCUGGGGAGUACGGCCGCAAGGCUAAAACUCAAAGAAAUUGACGGGGGCCCGCACAAGCGGCGGAGCAUGCGGAUUAAUUCGAUGCAACGCGAAGAACCUUACCAAGGCUUGACAUAUACUGGACCGCAUCAGAGAUGGUGUUUCCCUUCGGGGCUGGUAUACAGGUGGUGCAUGGUUGUCGUCAGCUCGUGUCGUGAGAUGUUGGGUUAAGUCCCGCAACGAGCGCAACCCUCGUUCUAUGUUGCCAGCACGUUAUGGUGGGGACUCAUAGGAGACUGCCGGGGUCAACUCGGAGGAAGGUGGGGAUGACGUCAAAUCAUCAUGCCCCUUAUGUCUUGGGCUUCACGCAUGCUACAAUGGCCGGUACAGAGGGUUGCGAUACUGUGAGGUGGAGCUAAUCCCUAAAAGCCGGUCUCAGUUCGGAUUGGGGUCUGCAACUCGACCCCAUGAAGUCGGAGUCGCUAGUAAUCGCAGAUCAGCAACGCUGCGGUGAAUACGUUCCCGGGCCU